Mus musculus (house mouse) is the source of this 602-nucleotide long non-coding RNA. RefSeq annotates it as predicted gene, 36239. NCBI's taxonomy places the organism in Eukaryota, Metazoa, Chordata, Mammalia, Rodentia, Muridae. The transcript is spliced from 3 exons. The record is from RefSeq and is a predicted model, not a curated record.
AUACGCGCCGGAUUUGGAGAAGGGGCGGGACUUACGGAAAGGCCUGGGAGGAGAAGAAGGUGGGGCUGGUGGCGUUGCUAAAUGGCUGUGGGCGUAGAACUCGAAAGCCUGUCUCCAAAGAACUGUGUCAUCUGAAUCAGUUGACUCACCAGUACCUGGUCAGUACUGCUGGUCCUUACCAUGCCUUUGAAAGUUGAAGCAUUCUCAGGAUGGGAGCUGCAAGAAGACAGCUUUCUCCCUCUCUAGAACAUUGUCAAACAGCAGGCAUUGCAUACAAACAUGUUGGAUGAAGGGUGAACAACUGUUGGUGAAGAACAAAGAGUGUUUUUAUCACUGAAAAGAUCUUUACAGAGAUUCAGUCUAGUUCUUAAAAGCCUGUGGUCUUUUGGUAUGCUUAAGUUUCUUCAAAUCUGAAAAACUGGAUCCCAUCACAUUAAGUCAUAGUCAUCACUGUUCUCUGGACCCUCUACACACAGUGCUUGAUCCAUAGCAAUUGCAGUAGCAUAUAUUCCUUACAAAAGGACAAGUAACAAUGAACUUCAGAAUCAGAACAAGCCAACUCAACACUAUUUAGUUGACAGGACGGUGCUUAAGAGGAGGAG